CUUCUCUGAUGUUAGCGGCGGACGGGUGAGUAACACGUGGGUAACCUACCUAUAAGACUGGGAUAACUCCGGGAAACCGGGGCUAAUACCGGAUAAUAUUUUGAACCGCAUGGUUCGAUAGUGAAAGACGGUUUCGGCUGUCACUUAUAGAUGGACCCGCGCCGUAUUAGCUAGUUGGUAAGGUAACGGCUUACCAAGGCGACGAUACGUAGCCGACCUGAGAGGGUGAUCGGCCACACUGGAACUGAGACACGGUCCAGACUCCUACGGGAGGCAGCAGUA
Molecule: ribosomal RNA, 282 nt
Filed under: uncultured Staphylococcus sp.
Lineage: Bacteria; Bacillati; Bacillota; Bacilli; Caryophanales; Staphylococcaceae
Description: partial 16S ribosomal RNA
Rfam family: Bacterial small subunit ribosomal RNA
Source: RNAcentral